GAUCCUGGCUCAGGAUGAACGCUGGCGGCGUGCUUAACACAUGCAAGUCGAGCGAAGCACUUAGGAAAGAUUCUUCGGAUGAUUUCCUAUUUGACUGAGCGGCGGACGGGUGAGUAACGCGUGGGUAACCUGCCUCAUACAGGGGGAUAACAGUUAGAAAUGACUGCUAAUACCGCAUAAGACCACAGCACCGCAUGGUGCAGGUAAGUAAACCGUCGGUGU
This 222-nucleotide ribosomal RNA is filed under the name uncultured bacterium. Its description in RNAcentral is "partial 16S ribosomal RNA". It matches the Rfam family "Bacterial small subunit ribosomal RNA", at positions 15 to 221 of the family's 1533-position model. The record is from RNAcentral.